GCCCUUAUAGCUCAGUGGUAGAGCGUUGCACUUGUAGCUCUGAUUAGUCAUUAAUCCUUGCUUAUCUAAUCAUGCAAAGGUCCAUAGUUCAAUCCUGUGUGGGGGCA
Molecule: non-coding RNA, 107 nt
Organism: Ceratobasidium sp. 414
Lineage: Eukaryota; Fungi; Basidiomycota; Agaricomycetes; Cantharellales; Ceratobasidiaceae
Source: the annotation of a GenBank genome assembly